AUUGAACGCUGGCGGAAUGCUUUACACAUGCAAGUCGAACGGUAGAGGGGGCAACCUCUCGAGAGUGGCGAACGGGUGAGUAAUAUAUCGGAACGUGCCCAGUCGUGGGGGAUAACGUAGCGAAAGUUACGCUAAUACCGCAUACGAUCUACGGAUGAAAGCGGGGGACUCGCAAGAGCCUCGCGCGAUUGGAGCGGCCGAUAUCAGAUUAGGUAGUUGGUGGGGUAAAGGCUCACCAAGCCAACGAUCUGUAGCUGGUCUGAGAGGACGACCAGCCACACUGGAACUGAGACACGGUCCAGACUCCUACGGGAGGCAGCAGUGGGGAAUUUUGGACAAUGGACGCAAGUCUGAUCCAGCCAUUCCGCGUGCAGGAUGAAGGCCCUCGGGUUGUAAACUGCUUUUGUACGGAGCGAAACGGCUUUUUCUAAUACAAGAAGCUAAUGACGGUACCGUAAGAAUAAGCACCGGCUAACUACGUG
Molecule: ribosomal RNA, 482 nt
Filed under: uncultured bacterium
Lineage: Bacteria
Description: bacterial SSU rRNA
Rfam family: Bacterial small subunit ribosomal RNA
Source: RNAcentral